CGGGACACGUGGUAUCCUGUCUGAAUAUGGGGGGACCAUCCUCCAAGGCUAAAUACUCCUGACUGACCGAUAGUGAACCAGUACCGUGAGGGAAAGGCGAAAAGAACCCCGGCGAGGGGAGUGAAAAAGAACCUGAAACCGUGUACGUACAAGCAGUGGGAGCACAGAGCAAUCUGUGUGACUGCGUACCUUUUGUAUAAUGGGUCAGCGACUUAUAUUCUGUAGCAAGGUUAACCGAAUAGGGGAGCCGAAGGGAAACCGAGUCUUAACUGGGCGUUAAGUUGCAGGGUAUAGACCCGAAACCCGGUGAUCUAGCCAUGGGCAGGUUGAAGGUUGGGUAACACUAACUGGAGGACCGAACCGACUAAUGUUGAAAAAUUAGCGGAUGACUUGUGGCUGGGGGUGAAAGGCCAAUCAAACCGGGAGAUAGCUGGUUCUCCCCGAAAGCUAUUUAGGUAGCGCCUCGUGAAUUCAUCUCCGGGGGUAGAGCACUGUUUCGGCAAGGGGGUCAUCCCGACUUACCAACCCGAUGCAAACUGCGAAUACCGGAGAAUGUUAUCACGGGAGACACACGGCGGGUGCUAACGUCCGUCGUGAAGAGGGAAACAACCCAGACCGCCAGCUAAGGUCCCAAAGUCAUGGUUAAGUGGGAAACGAUGUGGGAAGGCCCAGACAGCCAGGAUGUUGGCUUAGAAGCAGCCAUCAUUUAAAGAAAGCGUAAUAGCUCACUGGUCGAGUCGGCCUGCGCGGAAGAUGUAACGGGGCUAAACCAUGCACCGAAGCUGCGGCAGCGACGCUUAUGCGUUGUUGGGUAGGGGAGCGUUCUGUAAGCCUUUGAAGGUGUACUGUGAGGUAUGCUGGAGGUAUCAGAAGUGCGAAUGCUGACAUAAGUAACGAUAAAGCGGGUGAAAAGCCCGCUCGCCGGAAGACCAAGGGUUCCUGUCCAACGUUAAUCGGGGCAGGGUGAGUCGACCCCUA
This 978-nucleotide ribosomal RNA is filed under the name Escherichia coli. RNAcentral's name for it is "partial 23S ribosomal RNA". It matches the Rfam family "Bacterial large subunit ribosomal RNA", at positions 418 to 1393 of the family's 2925-position model. The record is from RNAcentral. Lineage: Bacteria; Pseudomonadati; Pseudomonadota; Gammaproteobacteria; Enterobacterales; Enterobacteriaceae.